UACAGAGGGUGCAAGCGUUGUUCGGAAUUAUUGGGCGUAAAGGGCGCGUAGGCGGUGCGGUAAGUUUGUGGUGAAAUCUUCAGGCUCAACUUGAAAAUUGCCGCGAAGACUGCCGUGCUGGAGUGUGGGAGAGGAGAGUGGAAUUCCUGGUGUAGCGGUGAAAUGCGCAGAUAUCAGGAAGAACACCCGUGGCUAAGGCGGCUCUCUAGUACGGUACUGACGCUGAGACGCGAAAGCGUGGGGAGCGAACAGG
RNAcentral lists this ribosomal RNA (253 nucleotides) under uncultured prokaryote. RNAcentral's name for it is "partial 16S ribosomal RNA". It matches the Rfam family "Bacterial small subunit ribosomal RNA", at positions 524 to 776 of the family's 1533-position model. The record is from RNAcentral.